GAUGAACGCUGGCGGCGUGCCUAACACAUGCAAGCCGAACGAAGCACCUUACCUGAUUCUUCGGAUGAAAGUCUGGUGACUGAGUGGCGGACGGGUGAGUAACGCGUGGGUAACCUGCCCUGUACAGGGGGAUAACAGCUGGAAACGGCUGCUAAUACCGCAUAAGCGCACGAGGAGACAUCUCCUUGUGUGAAAAACUCCGGUGGUACAGGAUGGGCCCGCGUCUGAUUAGCUGGUUGGCAGGGUAACGGCCUACCAAGGCAACGAUCAGUAGCCGGUCUGAGAGGAUGAACGGCCACAUUGGAACUGAGACACGGUCCAAACUCCUACGGGAGGCAGCAGUGGGGAAUAUUGCACAAUGGGGGAAACCCUGAUGCAGCAACGCCGCGUGAGUGAAGAAGUAUUUCGGUAUGUAAAGCUCUAUCAGCAGGGAAGAUAAUGACGGUACCUGACUAAGAAGCUCCGGCUAAAUACGUGCCAGCAGCCGCAGUAA
Molecule: ribosomal RNA, 493 nt
Filed under: uncultured bacterium
Lineage: Bacteria
Description: partial 16S ribosomal RNA
Rfam family: Bacterial small subunit ribosomal RNA
Source: RNAcentral